GAGGCAGCAGUAGGGAAUCUUCCGCAAUGGGCGAAAGCCUGACGGAGCAACGCCGCGUGAGUGAAGAAGGUCUUCGGAUCGUAAAACUCUGUUAUUAGGGAAGAACAAAUGUGUAAGUAACUAUGCACGUCUUGACGGUACCUAAUCAGAAAGCCACGGCUAACUACGUGCCAGCAGCCGCGGUAAUACGUAGGUGGCAAGCGUUAUCCGGAAUUAUUGGGCGUAAAGCGCGCGUAGGCGGUUUUUUAAGUCUGA
Molecule: ribosomal RNA, 255 nt
Filed under: Staphylococcus capitis
Lineage: Bacteria; Bacillati; Bacillota; Bacilli; Caryophanales; Staphylococcaceae
Description: partial 16S ribosomal RNA
Rfam family: Bacterial small subunit ribosomal RNA
Source: RNAcentral